Molecule: ribosomal RNA, 253 nt
Filed under: uncultured bacterium
Lineage: Bacteria
Description: partial 16S ribosomal RNA
Rfam family: Bacterial small subunit ribosomal RNA
Source: RNAcentral
UACAGAGGGUGCGAGCGUUGUCCGGAAUCACUGGGCGUAAAGGGCGCGUAGGCGGGAUGGCAAGUCGGUCGUGAAAUCCCUCGGCUCAACUGAGGAGCGUCGAUCGAAACUGCCGUUCUUGAGGGUUGCAGAGGAGACUGGAAUUCCCGGUGUAGCGGUGAAAUGUGUAGAGAUCGGGAGGAACACCGGUGGCGAAGGCGGGUCUCUGGGCAACUCCUGACGCUGAGGCGCGAAAGCGUGGGGAGCAAACGGG